CAUUUACUAACUAUAUUUAGUAUAGGGCGAUAGAAAAUUUAAUUUAGCGCUAUAGAAAUAGUACCGUAAGGGAAUGAUGAAAGAUAAACUUAAGUAUAAAAAAGCAAAGAUUCAACCUUAUACCUUUUGCAUAAUGAGCUAACUAGAAAACACCUGACAAAGAGAACUUAAGCCAGAGACCCCGAAAUCAGACGAGCUACCUUAGAACAGCCUACCACAGGGCCAACUCAUCUAUGUGGCAAAAUAGUGAGAAGAUUUUAAGGUAGAGGUGAAAAGCCUAACGAGCUUGAUGAUAGCUGGUUGUCCAAGAAAGAAUCUUAGUUCACCUUAAAACUUACCUGCAUUUCCAAAAUAAAAUUACUGUAAGUUUUAAAGCUAACCUAAAGAGGUACAGCUCUUUAGAUAGAGGAUACAACCUAAAGUAAAGAGUAAUUGAUACAAUAUUCAUAGUAGGCCUAAAAGCAGCCAUCAAUUAAGAAAGCGUUAAAGCUCAACACUAUUAUAUAAUUUAUUCCAAUAAUAUAUUACAUCUCCUACAAAAUAACUGGACCAAUCUAAUUAAUAUUAGAUGAAAUACUGUUAGUAUAAGUAAUAAGAAAAAUUUUCUCCUAGCACAAGUGUAUAACAGAACGAAUAAAUCGCUGAUAGUUAACAAUCAUACAUUUCCACCUAAACUACUAGAACCAAUGUUACUAAUUUAUUGUUAGCCCAACACAGGAGUGCAAACUAGGAAAGAUUAAUAAAUGUAAAAGGAACUCGGCAAACUUAAACCCCGCCUGUUUACCAAAAACAUCACCUCUAGCAUUACCAGUAUUAGAGGCACCGCCUGCCCAGUGACGCAAGUUAAACGGCCGCGGUAUCCUGACCGUGCAAAGGUAGCAUAAUAAUUUGUUCCUUAAUUAGGGACUUGUAUGAAUGGCAUCACGAGGGUUUAACUGUCUCUUACAUUCGAUCAAUGAAAUUGACCUUUCCGUGAAGAGGCGGAAAUAACACAAUAAGACGAGAAGACCCUAUGGAGCUUAAAUUAAUAUUCCAACUUAAACAACUUCAAAUCUAAUCGAUGUAAAAUCUGCAACCACUGGAAUAAACAUUUUGGUUGGGGUGACCUCGGAGCAUAAAAAAACCUCCGAAGGACUAACAUUAAGACCAACUAGUCCAAAUUAUAAAUGUCCAAAUAUUGACCCAGAAAUAAUUCUGAUCAAUGAACCAAGUUACCCUAGGGAUAACAGCGCAAUCUUGUUAAAGAGUUCAUAUCGACAAUAAGGUUUACGACCUCGAUGUUGGAUCAGGACAUCCCAAUGGUGCAGCAGCUAUUAAAGGUUCGUUUGUUCAACGAUUAAAGUCCUACGUGAUCUGAGUUCAGACCGGAGCAAUCCAGGUCGGUUUCUAUCUAUUUACCUAUUUCUCCUAGUACGAAAGGACCAGAGAAAUGAGGCCAACUUUACAAAAGCGCCUUAAUACUUAAUAAAUGAUAUUAUAUCAACUUACAAAGUAACUUAACUCACUCAAUUACAUCCCGACAUUAGGGAUUGUUAAGAUGGCAGAGCCAGGUAAUUGCA
Non-coding RNA from Dipodomys ordii (Ord's kangaroo rat), 1559 nucleotides. The record is from Rfam. Lineage: Eukaryota; Metazoa; Chordata; Mammalia; Rodentia; Heteromyidae.